AUUGAACGCUGGCGGCAGGCCUAACACAUGCAAGUCGAGCGGAUGAAGGGAGCUUGCUCCUGGAUUCAGCGGCGGACGGGUGAGUAAUGCCUAGGAAUCUGCCUGGUAGUGGGGGAUAACGUCCGGAAACGGGCGCUAAUACCGCAUACAUCCUGAGGGAGAAAGUGGGGGAUCUUCGGACCUCACGCUAUCAGAUGAGCCUAGGUCGGAUUAGCUAGUUGGUGGGGUAAAGGCCUACCAAGGCGACGAUCCGUAACUGGUCUGAGAGGAUGAUCAGUCACACUGGAACUGAGACACGGUCCAGACUCCUACGGGAGGCAGCAGUGGGGAAUAUUGGACAAUGGGCGAAAGCCUGAUCCAGCCAUGCCGCGUGUGUGAAAAAGGUCUUCGGAUUGUAAAGCACUUUAAGUUGGGAGGAAGGGCAGUAAGUUAAUACCUUGCUGUUUUGACGUUACCAACAGAAUAAGCACCGGCUAACUUCGUG
Molecule: ribosomal RNA, 484 nt
Filed under: uncultured bacterium
Lineage: Bacteria
Description: partial 16S ribosomal RNA
Rfam family: Bacterial small subunit ribosomal RNA
Source: RNAcentral